This 85-nucleotide transfer RNA is filed under the name Streptosporangiaceae bacterium. Its description in RNAcentral is "tRNA-Leu". It matches the Rfam family "tRNA". Rfam says of the family: Transfer RNA (tRNA) molecules are approximately 80 nucleotides in length. Their secondary structure includes four short double-helical elements and three loops (D, anti-codon, and T loops). Lineage: Bacteria; Bacillati; Actinomycetota; Actinomycetes; Streptosporangiales; Streptosporangiaceae. The record is from RNAcentral. RNAcentral also lists the same sequence under 1 other name.
GUCCGGGUGGCGGAAUAGGCAGACGCGCUAGCUUGAGGUGCUAGUGCCCUCUAAGGGCAUGGGGGUUCAAGUCCCCCCUCGGACA